This 88-nucleotide non-coding RNA is filed under the name Palpitomonas bilix. The record is from RNAcentral.
UGUUUUUUUUUCUUUUUUCUCUUUUCUCUUUUUUCUCAUAAAAAUAAUGGAAAAGGGACAAAAAAACAGAGUGGGAAAAACAAAGAGA